GACGGAGGGUGUGAGCGGUAAUCGGAAUCACUGGGCGUAAAGCGUCUGUAGGUGGUGAUGCAAGUCACUGGUGCAAAACUCUGGCUCAACCGGAGGAAAGCCAGUGAAACUGCAUGACUAGAGUGUGGGAGAGGUAGAAGGAAUUCCCUGAGUAGCGGUGAAAUGCGUAGAUACAGGGAAGAACACCGGAGGCGAAAGCGUUCUACUGGAACACAACUGACACUGAGAGACGAAAGCUAGGGGAGCGAAUGGG
Molecule: ribosomal RNA, 253 nt
Filed under: uncultured bacterium
Lineage: Bacteria
Description: partial 16S ribosomal RNA
Rfam family: Bacterial small subunit ribosomal RNA
Source: RNAcentral